RNAcentral lists this ribosomal RNA (1241 nucleotides) under uncultured Acinetobacter sp. RNAcentral describes it as "bacterial SSU rRNA". It matches the Rfam family "Bacterial small subunit ribosomal RNA", at positions 78 to 1314 of the family's 1533-position model. The record is from RNAcentral. Lineage: Bacteria; Pseudomonadati; Pseudomonadota; Gammaproteobacteria; Moraxellales; Moraxellaceae.
GCUUGCUACCUGACCUAGCGGCGGACGGGUGAGUAAUGCUUAGGAAUCUGCCUAUUAGUGGGGGACAACAUUCCGAAAGGAAUGCUAAUACCGCAUACGCCCUACGGGGGAAAGCAGGGGAUCUUCGGACCUUGCGCUAAUAGAUGAGCCUAAGUCAGAUUAGCUAGUUGGUGGGGUAAAGGCCUACCAAGGCGACGAUCUGUAGCGGGUCUGAGAGGAUGAUCCGCCACACUGGGACUGAGACACGGCCCAGACUCCUACGGGAGGCAGCAGUGGGGAAUAUUGGACAAUGGGCGAAAGCCUGAUCCAGCCAUGCCGCGUGUGUGAAGAAGGCCUUUUGGUUGUAAAGCACUUUAAGCGAGGAGGAGGCUACUUGGAUUAAUACUCUAGGAUAGUGGACGUUACUCGCAGAAUAAGCACCGGCUAACUCUGUGCCAGCAGCCGCGGUAAUACAGAGGGUGCGAGCGUUAAUCGGAUUUACUGGGCGUAAAGCGUGCGUAGGCGGCUUCUUAAGUCGGAUGUGAAAUCCCUGAGCUUAACUUAGGAAUUGCAUUCGAUACUGGGAAGCUAGAGUAUGGGAGAGGAUGGUAGAAUUCCAGGUGUAGCGGUGAAAUGCGUAGAGAUCUGGAGGAAUACCGAUGGCGAAGGCAGCCAUCUGGCCUAAUACUGACGCUGAGGUACGAAAGCAUGGGGAGCAAACAGGAUUAGAUACCCUGGUAGUCCAUGCCGUAAACGAUGUCUACUAGCCGUUGGGGCCUUUGAGGCUUUAGUGGCGCAGCUAACGCGAUAAGUAGACCGCCUGGGGAGUACGGUCGCAAGACUAAAACUCAAAUGAAUUGACGGGGGCCCGCACAAGCGGUGGAGCAUGUGGUUUAAUUCGAUGCAACGCGAAGAACCUUACCUGGUCUUGACAUAGUAAGAACUUUCCAGAGAUGGAUUGGUGCCUUCGGGAACUUACAUACAGGUGCUGCAUGGCUGUCGUCAGCUCGUGUCGUGAGAUGUUGGGUUAAGUCCCGCAACGAGCGCAACCCUUUUCCUUAUUUGCCAGCGAGUAAUGUCGGGAACUUUAAGGAUACUGCCAGUGACAAACUGGAGGAAGGCGGGGACGACGUCAAGUCAUCAUGGCCCUUACGGCCAGGGCUACACACGUGCUACAAUGGUCGGUACAAAGGGUUGCUACCUAGCGAUAGGAUGCUAAUCUCAAAAAGCCGAUCGUAGUCCGGAUUGGAGUCUGCAACUCG